GAUAAACUGGCUUUCGUAGUUCAGAUUCUGAAGGAGGUGUUUGACCUGUUUGAGAAGAAUCGCAGCUCUGCACCAUGGGAGGAGAACACAGUGGAGAACUUUCUCAAUAUAGUCAACAAACAGGCUGAGAAGCUUCACUCCUGUGUUGGAAGCCACAGCAAUACGACACAGCUGACGCAUUUCAAGGGGCUCUCAAAUGAAACCCUAAAGGACAAUGGUUACAGUGCUGAAGCCUGGGAGGAGAUCAGGAACAUAACACAAGCCCAUCUGAG
Molecule: long non-coding RNA, 272 nt
Organism: Oreochromis niloticus (Nile tilapia)
Lineage: Eukaryota; Metazoa; Chordata; Actinopteri; Cichliformes; Cichlidae
Exons: 3
Source: RefSeq, a predicted model, not a curated record